This 240-nucleotide ribosomal RNA is filed under the name uncultured bacterium. Its description in RNAcentral is "partial 16S ribosomal RNA". It matches the Rfam family "Bacterial small subunit ribosomal RNA", at positions 537 to 776 of the family's 1533-position model. The record is from RNAcentral.
AGCGUUGUUCGGAUUCAUUGGGCGUAAAGGGUGUGUAGGUGGCGCGGUAAGUCGGGUGUGAAAUCUCGGAGCUUAACUCCGAAACUGCAUUCGAUACUGCCGUGCUUGAGGACUGGAGAGGAGACUGGAAUUUACGGUGUAGCGGUGAAAUGCGUAGAUAUCGUAAGGAAGACCAGUGGCGAAGGCGGGUCUCUGGACAGUUCCUGACGCUGAGGCACGAAGGCCAGGGGAGCAAACGGG